This is a long non-coding RNA of Passer domesticus (house sparrow), 630 nucleotides long. RefSeq lists it as uncharacterized. The record is from RefSeq and is a predicted model, not a curated record. The transcript has 3 exons. NCBI's taxonomy places the organism in Eukaryota, Metazoa, Chordata, Aves, Passeriformes, Passeridae.
UGGUCAGUUGAGGUCAGCUGUCCUGGCUGUGCUCUUUCUUAGCUUCCCAUGCAUUCCCAGUCUCCUCACCAGCAUGAAAAGCAGAAAAGGCCUUGGCUCUGUGUAAGCCCUGCUCAGUAGCAACAAAAACAUCUCUGUAUUAUCAACUCAGUGUUCAACAAAAAUCCAAAACUGAGCUCCAUGCUAGUCACUAUGAGGAAAAUUAACUCUACUGCAGCCAAGACCAGCACAAGGUGCCUGAAGUCUCUGAAGCAUUGUAAAGUAAAAGCUGGGAUUAUGAAAAUUACUUACAUCCUUGACCCGGUUUGUUGUGUUCAGUGCCAACAGUGCAACUUCAUUGGCUUCUUCGAUAUAACCAGCAAUGUUUUCAUACACAUUUGAAGCAUUGAUUGCCCUUUGUACCAAGCCAUUCGAAUCAACACCAUACAAAUUCCUGUUAAAAAGAGAGCAAAAGCUGUUCAGUAAGUGGCACUUGUGUGAACAGACUCUGCUUAAAUUUUACCCAUCCAGCUCAUCAGCAAGUCUUCUUAGGUUUUGUGCAUGAUGCAUAGCCUUUUCUACCAGUUCAUCAUCAAACAGGGACAGGUUGGCUAUUUUUUCUUGCAGUUCCUUUUUUGCUCCAUCUAUUUC